CGGGCUGUUAUCGUACGGAAGGAUCGGACAAGUGCUUGGUGUCAAGUGAAGACUUAGACACACACAAUGAUCCUAAUUACAUAUGAAGACAUAUGUAUAUAAAUAAUUAGAGAUUUAAUCACUAACUAUACAAGUAUAAACAUUUAAGCGCGAGGACAACACUUUUGGUCAAGUGCUAGGAGGCUAAUGGGUUGCAACAAAGGAGUGCAAUGCCCCUAAUGGAAGUUUAAGGUCAAAAGACCAUAUUCAUUAGAGUUUACGGCCCAGGGGAGUAAGCUCCUGGCCGUAAACUCUCAAACAAGUCAUGAAAUGGAGUUUAGAAGUACUACAACCUUAGAGGGGAAUUGUUUCAAGGCUAUACAAGUGUUUGGGCACCACAUUGACUCCUUUGGGGAGUUUACGGCCCAAAGACCCUUUUCCCUUGGAGUUUACGGCCGUAAACUCCCUUGGGAGGGUUCUUAUUGUCCUUUCAAGUCUCUAACAUUUCUAGGAACAAGUCUAGGCUUCAAUACUUGGAUCAAGGGAGGUUUAUGGCAUUAAAUGGAACCAUUUGAUGGAGUUUACGGCCAUAGAACUCUUUGGGCCGUAAACUCCCUCACACAUGAGGUUCUAAGAAUUUUAACUAGCCCAAAACUCAUCUAGGUACUUGCCCUAAAAGUCUCUUGGCCUAAGGAAGUGUCUAGGGUGUCCUUUGACCCCUUUAAAGGAGUUUACGGCCCAAGAAAUACUCUUGGCCGUAAACUCUUCAACACUUGAGCUUUUCAUGAUUUUUCUAGGUCCUAAACACAUUAAGGUACUAGCCAAAAAUGAAGACUAAGCCUUAGGAAGAGUUUGAAGUGGUUUUGGCACUUAAUCUUGGAGUUUACGGCCUAAGGAGCAUCUUGGCCGUAAACUCCCUUCCAAAGUUGGUUUCUAAUUGUUUUGUGGGUCUAAAUCAUGAGUUUAAGGCUUCUAGGUUCUUGUUCUAAGGCUAAAGGAACACUAGGCACUCAUUUGUGCCCUUUACUUGGAGUUUACGGCCCAAGAGGUUGUUCCUUGGCCGUAAACUCCUCAAACUACUUGCUUUUGAUUUGUUUCUAGCCUCUAAUGAUCAUACACUAAGUCCUUAGUUAGAUGCCUAACACGGAAAUGGGACUAGGUGGCCUUUAGGCUUGAUUUUGGAGUUUACUCCCCAAGAACGUUCUUGGGCGGUAAACUCCCGGAUCUUGUGUUUUGGACAUGUAAACAAUGUUAUAAAGCAUAUAACAAGUAUUAAAACACAUUUAGGGAAGUAGACUCACAAUCUGGGAUGAAAACCCGAAGAUCCGUGAGAGAGUAUUUGGCUUUUCUCUAAAUGGAAAUCAAAUAAUGAACCAAUUUGGUUCAGAAUUCUAUUUAUAGUCCAGAGAUUUUUGGCAGAAAAUAUUUCUAUUCUCGGAAUGGAUUCUAAUGACCUAGAGUAAUGGAAUUACAGUGUUGCACAAAAUCCUAGUGCACCCACUCUCCUAAUAACUCCUUAGGUGUAAAACCCUAAAACUGCCAAACUUAUUCCAAAAGUUUGAAUUUUCACUGAAACUGCUCUACUUCCAUUGGAUUGAUGUGGUUUGAUUUGAAUGGAAAAUUUCGGGUUGUCACAGUUAAGGGGUAUGAACUCACCUGCAGUAUGUGACUGGAAUUGAACGGGCUGUUAUCGUACGGAAGGAUCAGACAAGUGCUUGGUGUCAAGUGAAGACUUAGACACACACAAUGAUCCUAAUUACAUAUGAAACAUAUGUAUAUAAAUAAUUAGUGAUUAUAACACUAAUUAUACAAGUAAUAACAUUUAAGCGCGAGGACAACACUUUUGGUCAAGUGCUAGGAGGCUAAUGGGUUGCAACAAAGAAGUGCAAUGCCCCUAAUGAAAGUUUAAGGUCAAAAGACCAUAUUCAUUAGAGUUUACGGCCCAGGGGAGUAAGCUCCUGGCCGUAAACUCUCAAACAAGUCAUGAAAUGGAGUUUAGAAGUACUACAACCUUAGAGGGGAAUUGUUUCAAGGCUAUACAAGUGUUUGGGCACCACACUGACUCCUUUGGGGAGUUUACGGCCCAAAGACCCUUCUCCCUUGGAGUUUACGGCCGUAAACUCCCUUGGGAGGGUUCUUAUUGGCCUUUCAAGUCUCUAACAUUUCUAGGAACAAGUCUAGGCUUCAAUACUUGGAUCAAGGGAGGUUUAUGGCAUUAAAUGGAACCAUUUGAUGGAGUUUACGGCCAUAGAACUCUUUGGGCCGUAAACUC
RNAcentral lists this long non-coding RNA (2251 nucleotides) under Lactuca sativa (garden lettuce). Its description in RNAcentral is "long non-coding RNA (LSAT_LNC000597)". Lineage: Eukaryota; Viridiplantae; Streptophyta; Magnoliopsida; Asterales; Asteraceae. The record is from RNAcentral.